UCCUUCUUUCUCGAAGAAGUCUAUUACUUAUCCCUCUCUUCUUUUCUUUUCAGACCAGUGAAAAGUCUACUUUUCCUCCCUGUCGCUGUUGUUCAUCUUCAACCUCAGGACAGCCGAACUGAGACCGAGUUGGCUCGGUUUUUCUCCUCCGAAUCCGGCCUUAUCUCUCGUGUAUUCCGAAAAUUAGUUGAGGGGAUUUGUUUCCCUUAUCCUCCUCUAUCUCUUCCCCCAAAAAUCCAGUUUUAUCCCUUUGAAUUCGACGCGAAUUUGGAUUCGUUUGCGAGUUUAUCUCUCCACCAAACCCUAGGUUUUCCCGGCGCGAUUCCUUGCGUUCCAAGCCCGAUCUCUCUCUCCCAUGGCUAUAAAUAGAGUCCCCUCCCUCUCCUCUUUCGUUUGCCACCCUCGCCCGAGCUCGCCGUCGGCCGUAGCGCCCUAGCCGCGUCUGCUCUAGCGCCGCCGUCGCCGCCGAGUUUCCAGCCGCGCCACGCCGCCUUUGCAGCCGCCUUCUCCAGUCGCUGUCGCCACCAUCAGGUUCACGAGGAGGAGCCGCACACCGUCCACCACUCGGCCGAAGCCGAAGCCCGCUGGAGCGCCGCCGACGCCGUCAAGCCGAGCUCACCACCGCCUCGAUCUCGUUGCCGGCCGUUUUUCAUUGUCGUCCUUCGUCGUGCCGCCCCUCACCGCGCCACGCCGCCUUUGCAGCCGCCUUCUCCAGUCGCUGUCGCCACCAUCGGGUUCACGAGGAGGAGCCGCACACCGUCCACCACUCGGCCGAAGCCGAAGCCCGCUGGAGCGCCGCCGACGCCGUCAAGCCGAGCUCACCACCGCCUCGAUCUCGUUGCCGGCCGUUUUUCAUCGUCGUCCUUCGUCGUGCCGCCCCUCACUUGUCGUUUUCGUCGUUGCGAAGGUUCGCGAGUGCGUCGGAAGAGAUUCAGAAGACUAAUUGAAGACCGAUUAUUGCAAG
Oryza sativa Japonica Group (Japanese rice) is the source of this 964-nucleotide non-coding RNA. NCBI's taxonomy places the organism in Eukaryota, Viridiplantae, Streptophyta, Magnoliopsida, Poales, Poaceae. The record is from RefSeq and is a predicted model, not a curated record.